Molecule: long non-coding RNA, 1893 nt
Organism: Cyprinus carpio (common carp)
Lineage: Eukaryota; Metazoa; Chordata; Actinopteri; Cypriniformes; Cyprinidae
Source: Ensembl
UCCAACAUCUCUUCUUGUUGAAAUCGAGCCAGGGCUGACUCGAUGGAUGCAUCUUGCACAAGUGAAGCCUCUGUCGCCGCUUGCUGAUACUAACUCUCUUUCUAAUGUGAUUUAGUCCAACAGGUGCAGUAUUUUAUAUCCAAGGAAUGGCUGCUAAGGAAGAACAAUGACUAAUUGUUUCCUCUCUUUAGGUUCUCAACUAUGAUUCCAUCCGGACCUAUUGUGUUUAAUAUAUAUAUAUAAAAAAAAAAAAAAAAAAAAAGAGAGAAACUGAAAACCAUGGUGUUUGUGUUUAUAUGUACUGGUAUUGUCCUGUUUACUUUGUCUAUGUGUUGUUAUGUGUGUGUAUUUGUUGUGUUUUUAUCCAAAUAUUUCUGCUCCUACUAUACUAUAUCUCUAAUAGGUGCGAGUGCAUGCUGUCACAGAAAUAUUCAGUGCAGCUCAUUGACAUUCUGGGAGUGGUUGCUGUGCUCGUGGCUAGACAUCAGUGUUUCAUCGCAUCAUCACAUCACUCGUUAACUCUACGUCAUCUGAGAGACCUGUGCUAAAGUCUACCAGCUGAUAUAUAUAUAUAUAUUUACAUAUAGAUCAAAAGAUAUUUUUAUUCUCCCAUUUGUAGUGAUGAGGAAAUCUAUACCUUACAGGUGAAGGGUAAGGAAAGGUAUGAGAUGUUGAAAAUGAUCAACGAAAGUUUGGAAAUUAACGACAUGGUACCAUAAGGACAAAUAUCUUCAACUACUAUCUCCCAAGGGCAAGAAGAGAAAGAACGAUGAUAGAGUUUAGAGUUGGGAAAGAUGGAAGGCUGUGGUAAGUCCUCAACCCAGCAAAAGUCCAGGGGACGCCAGGGGUCGAAUUUCCUUAGGAGUUCUCGUCUGGCCAUCUUGGUGAAGAUCUUUGUUAAUUUUAAGGUAGCUGGGGUUAGAGAGGUAUCUACAGUACUAUCUGUCUGAAAUUGUUUAGAUUCUAAGAAAUCCACAUGGUGAUAGAGAUUCUGAGAAGAAGUCUACGUAUUUAAAUUAAACCCAAGUGUUGUUGAGAGAUUCUGAGAAGUCACGUACUCAGAAUGUGUUCUAUUCAUAAUGAUAAGUUUUAUUUCAAAAGUUAAAAAUUAAUAUUUCAUGGUAAGGAUCUGUCUCAUAUAUAUAUAUUAACAGGUUUCAUCUUUAUAUUCAAAAUGUUUUUGGUAAACUUUAUGGUAUAUUUCAUAUGUAAUUUCACAGUAUUUCUAACUGCGUAGUCAGCUGAGUCUGUUUUGCAUAUGAAGUUGAACUGCACGUAUUGUUCUUUUAAAUCAAUAUUUCUUAGAAUUAUCAGUAUGAUACUUUGAAUCUAAAAGAGGAAGAAGUUCAAAAUCGAGACAUUGACUAGACUAUUUUUAAAGGUCAGGUGUUAUUAGUGAUAGCCAGAUGACGACUUAUGUCUGGAACAACAGUAUAUAAGAUAGACUCUGCAAAAUAGAAUAGGGGUUUGACUUUCUGAGACUCUGGUCUCUCUAUCUUUUCAGCUCACUUCCUCUUCUUUGGCUUCACUCGACAACUCUUAGACUCAGACUUAGAACUCUUACAGGUUUUUAUUCAAAUUCAGAUACCUUGAAAUUCAGAUACUUUGAUACUUUUAUAUUUUGAUACUUUAAUAUUUUAAUACUUAAUACUUUGGUAUUUUUGAUUUAAAACAAAUAACUGUUUACGUUUUACUUACAAUUUUACUAAUGUUUUGAUUAAUACUAGUUGGGUUCAAUCCAUCAUAAAUGGAUUGUUAUUAAAAAUCUACUAACAUUGGAUUUACAUUUUCUAUAUUUGAAGGUUGUUAUUAUUAUCAAGAACUUUAUUUCCAAGUUAUGAUUUGUGGUUUCUGUUCUCUAUAUUCUUUUUAAUAAAUGUACCUAUUAUUACA